Molecule: ribosomal RNA, 253 nt
Filed under: uncultured bacterium
Lineage: Bacteria
Description: partial 16S ribosomal RNA
Rfam family: Bacterial small subunit ribosomal RNA
Source: RNAcentral
UACAGAGGUCCCGAGCGUUGUUCGGAUUCACUGGGCGUAAAGGGUGCGUAGGUGGUGAGGAAAGUCGGAUGUGAAAUCUCCGGGCUCAACCCGGAAAUGGCAUUGGAAACUACCUUGCUGGAGGAUUUGAGGGGGGAUUGGAAUACUUGGUGUAGCAGUGAAAUGCGUAGAUAUCAAGUGGAACACCAGUGGCGAAGGCGAAUCCCUGGAAAAUACCUGACACUGAGGCACGAAAGCUAGGGGAGCAAACAGG